GACGAACGCUGGCGGCGUGCUUAACACAUGCAAGUCGAACGGAAAGGCCCUGCUUUUGUGGGGUGCUCGAUUGGCGAACGGGUGAGUAACACGUGUGUAACCUUCCCUUGACUUUGGGAUAACUUCAGGAAACUUGGGCUAAUACCGGAUAUGAUCUCCUGCUGCAUGGUGUUGUUUGGAAAGUUUCGGCGGUUGGGGAUGGUCUCGCGGCUUAUCAGCUUGUUGGUGGGGUAGUUGCUUACCAAGGCUUUGACGGGUAGCCGGCCUGAGAGGGUGACCGGCAAAAUUGGGACUGAGAUACGGACCAGAAUACAACGGGAGGCAGCAGUGGGGAAUAUUGCACAAUGGGAGGAAGCCUGAUGCAGAAACGACGCGGGCGGGAUGAAGGCCUUCGGGUUGUAAACCGCUGUCGACUGUGACGAAGAGUGAGUGACGGUAAUGGGUAAAGAAGCACCGGCUAACUACGUG
This 468-nucleotide ribosomal RNA is filed under the name uncultured bacterium. RNAcentral describes it as "partial 16S ribosomal RNA". It matches the Rfam family "Bacterial small subunit ribosomal RNA", at positions 28 to 507 of the family's 1533-position model. The record is from RNAcentral.